Molecule: ribosomal RNA, 429 nt
Filed under: bacterium
Lineage: Bacteria
Description: partial 16S ribosomal RNA
Rfam family: Bacterial small subunit ribosomal RNA
Source: RNAcentral
UAGGGAAUCUUCCACAAUGGACGCAAGUCUGAUGGAGCAACGCCGCGUGAGUGAAGAAGGUUUUCGGAUCGUAAAGCUCUGUUGUUGGUGAAGAAGGAUAGAGGCAGUAACUGGUCUUUAUUUGACGGUAAUCAACCAGAAAGUCACGGCUAACUACGUGCCAGCAGCCGCGGUAAUACGUAGGUGGCAAGCGUUGUCCGGAUUUAUUGGGCGUAAAGCGAGCGCAGGCGGAAUGAUAAGUCUGAUGUGAAAGCCCACGGCUCAACCGUGGAACUGCAUCGGAAACUGUCAUUCUUGAGUGCAGAAGAGGAGAGUGGAAUUCCAUGUGUAGCGGUGGAAUGCGUAGAUAUAUGGAAGAACACCAGUGGCGAAGGCGGCUCUCUGGUCUGCAACUGACGCUGAGGCUCGAAAGCAUGGGCAGCGAACAGG